UCACGGGAGAGGAGGUGGUCCAGAUAAUGAAGUCUUCUUGGACGCGUGAGGUGGCUGUCCGCUAGUCGCCCUGACCUCGGACGGAUUGCACCGGACCGACGCCGCACGGCGGCAGCGAGUUCUGGCAGUCACCGCAGCCCGUGGGUGUCGUGCCCGUCCAGCACGACGCACCGGUCACGACCGGUAGCCCACGGGCUGUCCCAU
RNAcentral lists this small RNA (204 nucleotides) under Actinotalea bogoriensis 69B4 = DSM 16987. Its description in RNAcentral is "Cellulomonas bogoriensis 69B4 = DSM 16987 Actinobacteria sRNA Ms_IGR-5". It matches the Rfam family "Actinobacteria sRNA Ms_IGR-5". Lineage: Bacteria; Bacillati; Actinomycetota; Actinomycetes; Micrococcales; Cellulomonadaceae. The record is from Rfam by way of RNAcentral.